RNAcentral lists this microRNA precursor (198 nucleotides) under Amborella trichopoda. Its description in RNAcentral is "pre miRNA MIR159". It matches the Rfam family "MIR159 microRNA precursor family". The record is from Rfam by way of RNAcentral. Lineage: Eukaryota; Viridiplantae; Streptophyta; Magnoliopsida; Amborellales; Amborellaceae.
GUUGUUGACAUGGAGCUCCUUGAGGUCCAAUCCAGGUUCUUACUUAGGUAAAAGCAGCUGCUAGUUCAUGGAUCCCACUGUGUUAUUUCCAAAUAUAAGAGAAUGGAGAUAUAAUGGUGGUUUGCAUGACCAAGGAGCUGCAUUCUUGCCUUGUGAGAUUCCUUGUUUGGAUUGAAGGGAGCUCUAUGUGUUCUCCCC